Long non-coding RNA from Salvator merianae (Argentine black and white tegu), 1765 nucleotides. The record is from Ensembl. Lineage: Eukaryota; Metazoa; Chordata; Lepidosauria; Squamata; Teiidae.
AAAAAGGCCACGCGGGAGAUUAGUUUGGGAAAGAGGACAAGUUUCCAAAAUUUCAAACGAUACUGCAGGCGCAGCUGAGCUUGGCGGAGCGAAAGCCCAACUCCGCGGGCCGUACGAGGUCGCAGGAUCUGCAAACGCCGCGUUUGCUUUUGAUUGUGGAAACCCCAGCAUUUGUAAGACAAAGAGGAGAAGUCCUAAACUGCAGCAAUGUGCAGCUCCUGCUUCGUCCCGGGACGCCGCAUUUGUUUUCCUUUUCAAAACGUUUCCAAAAUCCAGCUUGGACAAGAAUGCCCCAAGCGUCCCUGGGCCCGGUGUCUGUUCUUGCUGCUCUGCUGGGUUUCUUGGGAGAGGAGAAUGUGGAACUGUGCGAGGGUGAGCGAGCACUCGUUGCAGGAAAAAGGCAGCGAUGGGUGCAAAUGAGAACCAUUGAGUCUGUGCUCCCGAGAGGAAAUUUUGCAAUUCCUAAUGUACCUGAAGUUGGGCAAAACUGCCUUAGGGAUAGGGACCCCAGAGUNUGAAUCAGCACAGAUGCCCACGAGGAAUUCGAACAGUGGGAAACAGAGACCAAACUCUUCUCCCCUGUGAGUACCGAGUUUCCCUUUCUGUAGGGUUACCAUGGGAAAAAAAAGACAGGGAUCCUCGGCUUUUAUUUCUGCAUGUGUUGCCUGCAUGGACAGGUCCACUUGCUGAAAUUCCCUCUUCUGUGCAGCUGCGGAAGGGGCAGGAACCCUCCCCCCUUUUUCAGAGCCUUCCGCGCUCUCUGCCUUGCAGUCACAAACUGGCAGGAGGCGGGAUGCUUCCAGCUGGGGAGUGGGCGGGGCUUCCUGUGGGCGGGGCCUCUCCCCACCUAUAUCAGCAGGUGCCUGAGGGCCAGCCAGGUAGUUUUGAGUGUCCGCAUCUCCCUGCCACGAUGCUGAGUUCCCGGCAGUGUCUGCAGCUGCUCCUAGGGUGGGCCCUGCUCCUGGGGCAGCCAGCGGGUGGGACCCAGGAGGAGGCAGAGGCGGUAGAGGUGGCAGAGACUGAGGCAGAGGGGGCAGAGCCAGUCUUGCCUACCUCUGCAGCAGAUCCAGUGACUUCAGGAGAACCUUCAGAAGAGCUAGACGAGGAUCUCUGGAGGAUUGACCCGUGGACGGCAACCGAUAAGCAGCUGGAGAAACUGGCAAGUAUGGAGCGCCAGAGACUUGAAGACCCCAACUCUUAUUGGGCAGCCAGCUGGACGCGCUCUUGCAUUCAGGCCCUGAGUGGACACCGUGAUGCUCCUUUCUACAAGCUUCUGGAGGACGCCGACCUCAACAUCGAGAAAGCCCUUGGAACCGUGUUCAGCUUCAGCCUCUACGUGGGGAGAACCAACUGCACCCAAGAAGAGGGAANGAAGGCUGCCGAUUUUAGCCAUUACUACGGCUAUUGGGGCAGGAGGCAUCACCUGUUUCUUCCCCCAAAGCCAAAGUGUGAUCUGGAUCCAUCCCCCUGGAUAAAAAAAUGCAUGUUUUAUGUGUAUGAGGAUGCACGGACUGGAACCUCAUCCAUAUUUCAUCACGAGUGUCAAAACCAAAUUUACGGAGAAACCACUUGGCUAGCGCCGGAGGAGUGACACUGAGGGCCAGCAGCCGGGCACAGAAGGAGCCCGACGUUCGUCCGAUGCCCUUCGCAGCUACGCUAUGAUCACUUAGACGCCCGCCCGGACGCCUCCCCACCCUGGAAUCUCUGGCAGCUCACGCCUUGCCCUUGCUCUAGCUUAGGAUAAUAAAAUCACCCUGUGCAAACA